Molecule: unclassified non-coding RNA, 336 nt
Filed under: soil metagenome
Description: partial contains 5.8S ribosomal RNA, internal transcribed spacer 2, and large subunit ribosomal RNA
Rfam family: 5.8S ribosomal RNA (bases 1-120)
Source: RNAcentral
GAUGAAGAACGUAGCGAAAUGCGAUAAGUAGUGUGAAUUGCAGAAUUCAGUGAAUCAUCGAAUCUUUGAACGCACAUUGCGCCCCUUGGUAUUCCAUGGGGCAUGCCUGUUCGAGCGUCAAUUGUACCUUCAAGCUUUGCUUGGUGUUGGGUGUUUGUCUCGCCUUUGCGUGUAGACUCGCCUUAAAAUAAUUGGCAGCCGGCGUAUUGAUUUCGGAGCGCAGUACAUCUCGCGCUUUGCACUCAUAACGACAGCGUCCAAAAGUACAUUUUACACUCUUGACCUCGGAUCAGGUAGGGAUACCCGCUGAACUUAAGCAUAUCAAUAAGCGGAGGA